UUUCCUACCAGGUAGAAUUUCCCGAAAGCGAAUUUGAUUUCAGGAAAUGGAAGAGGUACAGAGAAAGAUGUGGAAGAGAAGGCAGCAUAGCUAAAAAAAGAUUUACCCUGAUGAGACUCCAAGAACUAAAAGGAAAUUUUGCAGAUUAGAGAGAAACCUGUUGCUCAAUGUCUUCCAUUGGAAAGUUUGUGAUUGGCUAACGUCACCAUCAAUUAUCUGGGAAUAAAGAGGAAGAUAGUUACCUCAAGAGAGAACAGUUCUCACAGUAAGAAUGGUAAAAUUGACAGCAAACACUGACAUCUUUCCAAACAUUCUGUGCAACUCUCGUCGUCCUCCAAGGAGAACCAGGACGUCUCAGCACAAAAUGUAACCAGGUGAUCUCAGUUGUCUUACCAACUCAGCACCAUUACCACUCCCUUCCAAGGUGGGGAACUACAUUUCCCCAAAUUCCCUUUUCCUGUGUGGUUUUAGGUUACAGCCGCUAACAAGAGGAACUGUGAGACUUGGAAGACAAAAAUGAAGAGGAAGGAAGCCAUAUUCUCAGACAGCAUGGCGGCAAGGCAUGGUGGCUUUCUACAGGUGUCUCUGUGGCUGCCCUCUUC
Molecule: long non-coding RNA, 602 nt
Filed under: Equus caballus (horse)
Lineage: Eukaryota; Metazoa; Chordata; Mammalia; Perissodactyla; Equidae
Description: lncRNA (ENSECAG00000044566.1)
Source: RNAcentral